CCUACGGGAGGCAGCAGUGGGGGAUAUUGCACAAUGGGGGGAACCCUGAUGCAGCGACGCCGCGUGGGUGAAGGAGUGCUUCGGUAUGUAAAGCUCUAUCGGCAGGGAAGAGGCAAGACGGUACCUGACAAAGAAGCCCCGGCUAACUACGUGCCAGCAGCCGCGGUAAUACGUAGGGGGCGAGCGUUAUCCGGAUUCACUGGGUGUAAAGGGAGCGUAGACGGCAAGGCAAGUCAGAGGUGAAAGCCCGGGGCCCAACCCCGGGACUGCCCUUGAAACUGCAUGGCUGGAGUGCGGGAGGGGCAAGCGGAAUUCCUGGUGUAGCGGUGAAAUGCGUAGAUAUCAGGAGGAACACCAGCGGCGAAGGCGGCCUACUGGACCGAGACUGACGUUGAGGCUCGAAAGCGUGGGGAGCAAACAGGAUUAGAUACCCCUGUAGUC
Molecule: ribosomal RNA, 441 nt
Filed under: uncultured bacterium
Lineage: Bacteria
Description: partial 16S ribosomal RNA
Rfam family: Bacterial small subunit ribosomal RNA
Source: RNAcentral